GGGUUGAGGAUGACAUUUCAAUGGGGCUGAAAAGAGGUGAUGUCUUGAAAAACAGGCUCAAUAGAAUUAUGCUGAGGCCC
Non-coding RNA from Heterocephalus glaber (naked mole-rat), 80 nucleotides. NCBI's taxonomy places the organism in Eukaryota, Metazoa, Chordata, Mammalia, Rodentia, Bathyergidae. The record is from Rfam.